Molecule: ribosomal RNA, 429 nt
Filed under: Fusobacteriota bacterium
Lineage: Bacteria; Fusobacteriati; Fusobacteriota
Description: Fusobacteria bacterium partial 16S ribosomal RNA
Rfam family: Bacterial small subunit ribosomal RNA
Source: RNAcentral
UAGGGAAUCUUCAACAAUGGACGCAAGUCUGAUGGAGCAACGCCGCGCGAGUGAAGAAGGUUUUCGGAUCGUAAAGCUCUGUUGUUGGAGAAGAAGGAUAGAGGAAGUAACUGGUCUUUAUUUGACGGUAAUCAACCAGAAAGUCACGGCUAACUACGUGCCAGCAGCCGCGGUAAUACGUAGGUGGCAAGCGUUGUCCGGAUUUAUUGGGCGUAAAGCGAGCGCAGGCGGAAUGAUAAGUCUGAUGUGAAAGCCCACGGCUCAACCGUGGAACUGCUUCGGAAACUGUCAUUCUUGAGUGCAGAAGAGGAGAGUAGAAUUCCAUGUGUAGCGGUGCAAUGCGUAGAUCUAUGGAAGAACACCAGUGGCGAAGGCGGCUCUCUGGUCUGCAACUGACGCUGAGGCUCGAAAGCAUGGGUAGCGAACAGG